Molecule: long non-coding RNA, 5339 nt
Filed under: Equus asinus (donkey)
Lineage: Eukaryota; Metazoa; Chordata; Mammalia; Perissodactyla; Equidae
Description: lncRNA (ENSEASG00005030634.1)
Source: RNAcentral
UCAGGCUUAACAAACUGUAUAUUUUGGUUGUGCUUGACUUCAAAAAACGAGGUUAGGAAGGGGAGAACCUACCUAUGAUCACCUCUCUUCAGAUUCUCAAAAGUAGGAGCAGCGAUUUAUCCAUCCUCACAGUUGCACAACUAAGAGUAGCAUAGAAAGCUUUCAAAAGCAGUGUGGGGGCCACGAAUCCUGGUGAUAUAACACUGGAUUCCAUCUUUAGAGGCUUCGAAGAGCCAAAGCUUCGUCUGAAUACCGCCAUGACAAAAUCUAGUGGAACAAUCUAUGAUUUCUUGCUGACUCUUGUGGUCUGGUGUACAAGAAGGAAAGCAUGCAUGGAGAAGGUGAAGUCCUGCAUUUUUUGGAGGCCCUGGAGUGCAGUGCAGGGGAAGGAGAGAGAAGGGCCAAUUGCCUCCAUUUUUCUUUACAUUGGCCCAUGUCGAAGACUAAAGGGAUUUGAACUAGAGGUCGCAGAGAGCGGUACCCGCAACCAACCGAGGAAGCCGGGGCGACCAGUUGCCACGACAAACCACCACCGCUGGGGGCGUGGGUGGCGUUACUCCAAGAGACGACCCCUGGAAGAGCAAGAGGCCGCCGCUAGGGGGCGCCGCUGCUUCCCCGCUAGGCGCCCACCCGCGGGGCGCGCACGCGAGGCUUUCCACCGCGCCUGCGCCGAGGAUGGACGCAGGCUCUCUUUUCCCCGACGCCAGCCGUCCCGACCCGGAUGAAACACUGCGUGACAGGCAGCGAGCGUGGCGGCCAUCUUCGUCUUCUGGGCACGUCAGCUGAGCCGGUUAGGGCCGAAGAGGAGCGUUGCGCAAGCGCGCCCAAGACGGCCACAGGUAACUCCCAUCUGACGGGCGAGGCGUCGCCGUCCUCGCCGGAAGUUUGGCGUUUCUGCGCCGCGGGAGAGGGGGCGGUCGCGGCAGAAGCAGCUGAGUGUCUCCUGAUACCCGGAUGUGAGGCGUUCUGCUGGCCCGCGUUGGAUCCUCCGCCAGGAGUGAGGAAGGUACGCGAGAGUCCCGAGCGCCCCCGCCGCCUGCCGUCGCGCCGCCUGCGUCCUCGCCUCCCUUUGGCAGCCUCUCCGGUGAGCAGGACGCCUCUACCCCUUCCUGUCCCACCCUCAGUGUCGUUGCCUCGCGCGCCUCUUCCUCCUUCUGUGGCCCGGGUUCCUGGCGCCCCUGGGAGGGGUGGGAGGUAGCCAGCCUGCGCGUCUCAGCUGCCCAGUCGCCGCAUCACCUGCCGCUGCUUGCCAGGCGGUCAGAGGUAAUGCCGGGGCCACGAUCGGGGACCGGGUCAGGCCGGGGCUUCCGGGGCGGCCGCGAGGGCUUGCAGAGCCCGGAGGGAGUUUGCAGCCAUUGCGGCUCCUGGACCUCUGUCGGCGCCGGCCGGCAGGUCGCCCCGACCCUGUCCCCGCCCCCGACGUCUCUCCGCGCCAGCGUUUCCCCGGAGCAGCCCCAGCAGCCGGCGCGGAGCUGCGGGCCUGCGGCUGGCUGCCCUGUCCCCGCCGCCGCUCGCUGACCCGGCCCGAACCCUGAGGCCUCUGCGGUCUGCAGGCCGGAGAUGGGCAUCCUGGUUUCACGGUCUUUAGACUGGGAGGGCAGCAGUGGCCCGGGUGCAAGUUCGUAGAGCAAUUCGGGUUGGACAGGGGUGUCUGGGCACGGGUAGGGCUGCUCUGGAGUAGAAGUGGGUGCAUGUAGGGCCAUAGUGAAGUUUGUAGAGACAGAGAUGCGAGCAGAAGGAAAUUGGGUCCUCGAUGUUUAUCAAUAUUCAUUCUACUACAGGGGUUUGUUUUACUCAGGCAGAAGGGGAUAGCAGGUCCAAAAAUUAGAGAACUCCCCCAUCCCCACACCCCCAACCCCCCCAUCCCUCCUCCACCUCUGAAUGUUGAGUUCUGAAAACCGAGCAUGUACAGUAUUUUCCGAGAGGGGGGUGCAGCUGGGAAGGGGAAGGAGUUAAAUCGUUGAGAUUUGAGAAGUACUGUGAACCUUCCUUUCUGUAGUCUUUGGAUAGCUGAAAUGGAAUUCUUUCAGCAGGAAGUAAUUGCAGCACAAAGUAUUUAAAUAGUGUUAUCAAAUGAUAUUUUAGUAAAUAGCCUUUGCGGAAAUCAAUAAAUGAAUGCUACUUAGUGGAAUAGUAGCGUGUGGGUGGGUUUUGUUUUUCCUCCUAAACAUUAAUUUUUUAAAAACUGGGUAAAACACGGAUUUCAGUUUAAAACAUUCUGGUUGCACUAAACUAUGCUGUGUUCAGGCUCUCUUCUGAUUAGGUCCUUAGUUUCUGCUUUACACAGGGCACCAGAACCGAUGGAACUUUUUUAAAUUGAGAAAGUUAAAAAAUUCUCACCGUGGAAUUAGGUAUGAGGGUAGGAUGAAAGUGCUUAAAAAGUGCUUAAUUUGGAAUCUGCAGAUUCAGCCUGGGGCAUGUGAGGAAAUGAGAAAACUAUCAGAGACACGUUCCGCUUUUAGGCAGAAUGCAGUGUAUGUCCCUUAGGUCAGAUGUGUGACUCGGGAAGUACCCUUCUUAGAACAAAACUUGCGCUGGCUUAUGAGCUUCUGUCUACCUUAUACUUUCCUGGCUGAGGAAAAUAUGCUAUCAUUUCUCAUGGAUCAGUAUUAUAAUUCUGUAGUGAACAAGUAAUUUUUUUAACAUCAGCCCCAUACAAGGUUUUGUGCUAGGCAUGUAAAGUGAUAAAUUAUGCUUCCAGAAGAACUGAAAAAGGACCCUAAUUAGUGAAUGCCAUUGACCCCCUUUGCUGGAUGGCCCUUUUCAGCUUGGUAAUUCAUUACAGCACAAAGCUGAUUGUGUUUAUUCUAAUAAUGAGGGUGACUAGUAUUGUACAGUUCAAAGUAAUGGAUUUUUUUUAAGACUAAACUUUGUUUUUUUAAAAGAUUGUCACCUGAGCUAAUGCCUGUUGCCAGUCUUUUUUUUCCUUCUUCUCCCCAAAGCCUUCCAGUCCAUAGUUGUAUAUUCUACUUGUAGGUCUGUCUAGUUCUGCUGUGUGAAACGCUGCCUCAGCAUGGCUUGAUGAGUGGUGUUAGGUCCGUGCCGGGAAUCCAAACCAGCGAAACCCUGGGCGGCUAAAGCGGAGCACACGAACUUAACCACUCAGCCAUGGGGCCAGCUGUUGAAGUAAUGGAUUUUUUUAAUAGUUAAAUAUUUUUUCAUGACUUUUAUUAACAAAUUUAUAUUACACAUAGAGUUCUUUGAAUAACCUCUACUGAAGGUGAUCAGAAGUUUACAUGGUAGUUGUGUAACUCCAGUAAAAUUGUUACCAUAGAUAAUUCACUUAAGGACAGUUAAGUCUUCAGAAGCCCAGACUUUUAUGUUUUUCUGUGCAUCUUUUUUCUUGGCACAGUGAAAGUUCUUUGGCUCUAUUUCUGCACAGGUUUUGCAUUACAGCUAUAUUAUACUACUGUAGUUACUUUUGGUAAAUAGAUCAUUCUAACUUGAAAAUCCUGUCGUUUCUUUCUUGAGGGGGCUAUAUCUUACACCUGAUUGCAUUACAGUACAUCUGAAGAAAGCAAGAUUCGUGUCGUCAGCUCUGUUCAUCUUACUUUAAACAUUUAUGGUUGCGUAUGUGAGAUUCACAGAGAUAACAACUCUGAAUAUAAAUAAAAAUGGGGUAUUAUUACUUUAAUGUAGUGGUUCUCAAACUUUUUGGCUAGGAUCACUUUACACACUUAAUGUGGGACUCUAGAUAGCUUUUGUUUAUAUUGAUUAUAUCUGUUGAUAGUUAUUGUAUUUGAAAUAAAUUUGAACACUUAUUAAUUCGUUAAAAAAUAGCUAAUAAACUAAUUAUAGGUUAAUACAAGUAUUUAUUUCAUUUUUUUUAUGAAAAACAACUAUUUUCCAAAAGAUAAAAAAUUAGUGAAAGAAGGGUGGCUGUUUUACGUUUUGUAAAUCUCUUUAAUGUUUGGUCUGAUAGGAGACAGCUGGAUUCUUCUCUCAGCUUCUGCAUUCAGUCUGUUGUUAUAUGUUGUUCUGGUUGAAGUAUAUGAAGAAAAUCCAGCUUCACACCUAUAUGUUGGGAGGAGUACUUUAAUAACCUUUUGAGAUAAUUGUGAUAUUCUUCUUUGAUGCUACAACAAAACUCAACAAGUGGUAAUUUCUUAAAGAUUAGUUCCCAAACACACAGGACGUUAUUAGAAGCAUCGUUCAUUGGGAGCAUCAUCAAUCAACUUAAAGAAAAAAGUGAUAUGUGCUUUCCAUUUUAGUAAGGUUUUCCUCAUGUAUGUGGUGAUGCUUGUUUAUCUACUCAUGGUUACCAGUGAGACAUUAAAACUGAUUGAAGCUAGGUGUGUUUGGAUGGUGGGUGGGCUGGUAAGUCUUCUGAUUGUAGGAUGUGAAUGAGUGUGAGCACGUGUGUGUGUGUGUGUGUAAUUCAUUAGUUUCCUUCCUAGAAGGCAUAGGUUUAGCUGCUGUCCUCUAGGAAUCUCUCAGUAGGCAAAGAGGACUUUGGGUGGAGGGAGUGGGUUUCAGCAGUCAGUAUGUGUACUCCUAUUUAUUCGCUCUGUUGUCAGUAUGAUAUUUCUUCCCUCACCUAUGACUGUUGAACCCCCACACACCAAAGACCUUUUGUUUUACUCCUUCCAGAGAUUUAUACCUCCAGUCUUCGGGAAUGAUGCAGGGGCAGACUUCUGGGUCCUAGUAGUUGGAGUGGCAAUUUGGGAGUCUCUGUUUUUUUGAGUCCCAUUUUCUUCCCCCUGUCCUAUGGAGCCUGGUACUGCCAAUUCCUGAGUCUUGGAGGAUUCUGUGGUUUAAACAGAAUUGCUUCUCAGCUUUCCUCAUUUCUUGUUUAGGGUUCAGGUUUCUUGUGUCUGGAGGUUAGUUAUUUUUUGUCCUUCUUUGUGGCUUCCAUACGUUUUAUCAUCUACUCUUUUGUUCUUUGUCUGUUGUAUUUAUGGUUUUGUCUUAAUCUGUUGUUUUUUUUAAGUAGGUUUUACAUGAGAGAAGAGGUAAAUGUGUGUUUAAAUCUGCCUUUUUAACUGUGUCAGUGGUUUUCUAUUUAUAUAGUUAUUUUAUGUCCACUGUUUUUCCUCAAAAUGGGAUUUCACUUUAUCAGUUUAAUCCGUUAUAUGUGCAUAUUAUGGAUUGUUUUUGUAUUUUAAAAGUUGUUUCUACAACAUAAAAUGGAUGCAUACAAUUCCAUUGGAUGCAUGUAUCAUAGUUUACUUCACAUUAGAAAUGCUAAAAUUAAAAUGCUAUGUAUAAAGUGGGCUCUGAAGACUAAUGAUAGGACAGGGUAAAAUUAUAGAAUGUUAUAUAUGAUAUAUGAGAGGUGAGUCAAUGAUUACAUCUUUCCUUUGUACAUUUUAAACAUUUUAAAAUGCUUUUUCUUUUAG